GAUCCUGGCUCAGGACGAACGCUGGCGGCGCGCCUAACACAUGCAAGUCGAACGAGCGAGAGGAGGUUUACUUUCUCAAGCGAGUGGCGAACGGGUGAGUAACGCGUGAGGAACCUGCCUCAAAGAGGGGGACAACAGUUGGAAACGACUGCUAAUACCGCAUAAGCCCACGACCCGGCAUCGGGUAGAGGGAAAAGGAGCAAUCCGCUUUGAGAUGGCCUCGCGUCCGAUUAGCUAGUUGGUGAGGUAACCGG
RNAcentral lists this ribosomal RNA (254 nucleotides) under uncultured bacterium. RNAcentral's name for it is "partial 16S ribosomal RNA". It matches the Rfam family "Bacterial small subunit ribosomal RNA", at positions 15 to 263 of the family's 1533-position model. The record is from RNAcentral.